UACAGGGGGGGCAAGCGUUGUUCGGAAUUACUGGGCGUAAAGAGCUCGUAGGUGGUUUGUCGCGUUGUCCGUGAAAACUCACAGCUUAACUGUGGGCGUGCGGGCGAUACGGGCAGACUGGAGUACUGCAGGGGAGACUGGAAUUCCUGGUGUAGCGGUGGAAUGCGCAGAUAUCAGGAGGAACACCGGUGGCGAAGGCGGGUCUCUGGGCAGUAACUGACGCUGAGGAGCGAAAGCGUGGGGAGCGAACAGG
This 253-nucleotide ribosomal RNA is filed under the name uncultured bacterium. RNAcentral's name for it is "partial 16S ribosomal RNA". It matches the Rfam family "Bacterial small subunit ribosomal RNA", at positions 524 to 776 of the family's 1533-position model. The record is from RNAcentral.